UCUGCCGUCUGCCAAAAUGGCAUGUCCGUUUAUUAACGAUCCAGUAGAUGAAGGAGCAGCGUUACUGCGCACAGAAUUAAAUAUUCGUCGGGAGAUUGUUUUCAGACCGGGCAUAGAUGUUUUGGCAUUUCCGGACAGUUAUCUUUUUGAACGGUACCGUUUCACAUCACAAUCCAAAACCUACAUCCACAACCUAAUCCGUCCUUACAUUUACAACUUUACCAACCGCAGUCAUGGUCUAACGUCCCAGCAGAUAUUGUGUGUUGCGCUGCGGUUCUUUGCAAAUGGGAGUUUUUUAUACAACAUCGGAGAUGCAGAACACCUCAGUAAGGCCACUGUAUGCAGGACGGUCAGAAAAGUGUGUCUGGCCCUGAAACGACUUUUACCAUCUUUGUCGUUUUCCCUGGACAUAAACCUGUCAGAGCCAUCAAGGAGGAGUUCCACAGGAUUGCAGGAUUUCCCAGUGUGAUUGGCUGCAUUGAUGGCACACACAUCCCCAUCACAGCUCCCUCACAUAAUGAAGCUGAUUAUGUGAAUAGGAAGUCCAUUCACAGUAUAAAUGUGCAGGUAGGUUAGAGGUAGAUUGACUACGGUUUCAAAAUGUUAAAGACUGCAUCAUAGUUCAACAUCUGUCAUUCUCUGCACUGUCAAGAUCAUAUGUGAUGCUGCACACAUCAUUUCUAAUGUAGUGGCCUGGGUCUGUUCAUGACUCGAGGAUUUUUCGAGAGUCUAACCUGAGCAACAGACUGCAGCGUGGAGAGUUUGAUGGCCUUCUGCUGGGUGACAGGGGUUACCAUGCCAACCCAGGCUGAUGACCCCAUACCCUGACCCUGAACCAGGCCCCUAACAGAACUUCAACCGGGCUCACUGUAGGAUGAGAGCCUGGGUGGAGAUGACCAUAGACCUGCUGAAAGCCCGUUUCCAGUGUCUACAUCACCUCAGGGUGACUCCUGAGAGGGCCUGUGAUAUUAUUGUGGCAUGUGUUGUUCUUCAUAAUAUUACCACUAUUAGAGGAGAGCAACACUCUGCCCUACAAACUGAAGACCCAGAUGAUGACCUCAUCCACCUGCCAGCUAUCCAGGACAGCAGAGCAGUCAGAGACACCAUAUGCCAUAAUCACUUUAGAGUUUAAGUCACCAUCAUCACCACCACAGCAGUGAAAUAAACACAUGACAUACAUUUCAUUUGGUCUUCUUUAUUUCCUACAAAUAAAAGAGCUAGUUUAGUUCAUGUUCCAGUAGUUAACAUAAUUCACCUGUGACCUGCACCCACCUCUAACUUGUGCUCCAGUAUUUCAAUUUCCAGAUCUGCCUUCUUAAUCUGGUGGUCCAAGUACUGCAUUUCUUUAUCUGUUUUUUGUAUUUUUCUCAGCAAGUGGAUUUUGUAUAUUUGUUUUACUGGUAACUGGGAAUACAUAAAGGACAUUAAAUUAUACAGUUGCACAUGAA
Molecule: long non-coding RNA, 1448 nt
Organism: Amphiprion ocellaris (clown anemonefish)
Lineage: Eukaryota; Metazoa; Chordata; Actinopteri; Pomacentridae
Exons: 3
Source: RefSeq, a predicted model, not a curated record